This 212-nucleotide long non-coding RNA is filed under the name Prunus persica (peach). Its description in RNAcentral is "long non-coding RNA (PPER_LNC007238)". Lineage: Eukaryota; Viridiplantae; Streptophyta; Magnoliopsida; Rosales; Rosaceae. The record is from RNAcentral.
GCCAGUAGCUUCUUCUAGCAAGCCAAAAGUGCGGAUGGGCUGGGGAAUGACCUGCAAUGUUCUAGCUAGCCCUUGUAUGGUUGCACAUCUUGCACAGCACCUGGGCUAAAAAUGGAGCAUGUGCACUGCAUGCACUCUAUCAGGGCUAGUUGUGUGUAAUAUAGAGUAAUUAUAGUGUGGUAUCUGUGGGAACAAAUAUUCCGGCUUUCAAU